UCCAGCAGCCAUAUCACCCUUCAACUCACAACUGACAACCCACAGAAGCCUGGCAAGUACCUGGAUGGAAGACCUUUUGGGAAAACUAAGGCUGCUGCUGGAA
This 103-nucleotide ribosomal RNA is filed under the name Lepisosteus oculatus (spotted gar). Lineage: Eukaryota; Metazoa; Chordata; Actinopteri; Semionotiformes; Lepisosteidae. The record is from RNAcentral.